RNAcentral lists this ribosomal RNA (443 nucleotides) under uncultured bacterium. RNAcentral's name for it is "partial 16S ribosomal RNA". It matches the Rfam family "Bacterial small subunit ribosomal RNA", at positions 338 to 795 of the family's 1533-position model. The record is from RNAcentral.
CCUACGGGAGGCAGCAGUGGGGAAUAUUGGACAAUGGGGGGAACCCUGAUCCAGCGACGCCGCGUGAGUGAAGAAGUAUUUCGGUAUGUAACGCUCUAUCAGCAGGGAAGAAAGAAAUGACGGUACCUGACUAAGAAGCCCCGGCUAACUACGUGCCAGCAGCCGCGGUAAUACGUAGGUGGCAAGCGUUAUCCGGAUUUACUGGGUGUAAAGGUAGCGUAGACGGCGAUGCAAGUCUGAAGUGAAAGGCGGGGGCCCAACCCCCGGACUGCUUUGGACACUGGAUGGCUGGAGUGCAGGAGAGGUAAGUGGAAUUACUAGUGUAGCGGUGAAAGGCGUAGAUAUUAGGAGGAACACCAGUGGCGAAGGCGGCUUACUGGACUGUAACUGACGUUGAGGCUCGAAAGCGUGGGGAGCAAACAGGAUUAGAUACCCUUGUAGUC